AACUAGAGAGCUUGUAAAUAGCACUUGACUUUUAAUCAAGAGAUAAUAUACUAUUUCUAGUUA
RNAcentral lists this transfer RNA (63 nucleotides) under Aporrectodea caliginosa. RNAcentral describes it as "tRNA-Lys". Lineage: Eukaryota; Metazoa; Annelida; Clitellata; Crassiclitellata; Lumbricidae. RNAcentral also lists the same sequence under 1 other name. The record is from RNAcentral.